UUCGAAAGGAACGCUAAUACCGCAUACGUCCUACGGGAGAAAGUGGGGGAUCUUCGGACCUCACGCUAUCGGAUGAGCCUAGGUCGGAUUAGCUAGUUGGUGAGGUAAUGGCUCACCAAGCGACGAUCCGUAACUGGUCUGAGAGGAUGAUCAGUCACACUGGAACUGAGACACGGUCCAGACUCCUACGGGAGGCAGCAUGGGGAAUAUUGGACAAUGGGCGAAGCCUGAUCCAGCCAUGCCGCGUGUGUGAAGAAGGUCUUCGGAUUGUAAGCACUUUAAGUUGGGAGGAAGGGCUGUCGGCUAUACCCUGCAGUUUUGACGUUACCACAGAAUAAGCACCGGCUAACUUCGUGCCAGCAGCCGCGGUAAUACGAAGGGUGCAAGCGUUAAUCGGAAUUACUGGGCGUAAAGCGCGCGUAGUGUUCAGCAAGUUGGAUGUGAAAGCCCCGGGCUCAACCUGGGAACUGCAUCCAAAACUACUGAGCUAGAGUACGGUAGAGGGUGGUGGAAUUUCCUGUGUACGGUGAAAUGCGUAGAUAUAGGAAGGAACACCAGUGCGAAGGCGACCACCUGGACUGAUACUGACACUGAGGUGCGAAAGCGUGGGGAGCAAACAGGAUUAGAUACCUGGUAGUCCACGCCGUAAACGAUGUCAACUAGCUGUUG
This 669-nucleotide ribosomal RNA is filed under the name bacterium MS-AsV-40. RNAcentral describes it as "bacterial SSU rRNA". It matches the Rfam family "Bacterial small subunit ribosomal RNA", at positions 150 to 825 of the family's 1533-position model. The record is from RNAcentral.